Long non-coding RNA from Mobula hypostoma (lesser devil ray), 1558 nucleotides. RefSeq lists it as uncharacterized. The transcript is spliced from 3 exons. Lineage: Eukaryota; Metazoa; Chordata; Chondrichthyes; Myliobatiformes; Myliobatidae. The record is from RefSeq and is a predicted model, not a curated record.
GCGUUCCCCAGGCGGACGAACGCUGCCUGUCACUGCCACCACAGGCUGAUGCGGGCGCCCCACAUAAGCGUGGUUGGGUAUUGCGCUUUGUUCCUCUCGGCUAUUAUUUAUGAAUGAAUUGUGUUUCGUGGCACGCCGGAUGCUACAUAGGACAAGCAUAUCAGACAGAUGCCCCGCAUCCCCAACUCGACAUUAUAAUUACAAUUUUUUUGAAAGAAACUAAAUGCAAGCCUAAUUCUCCGCAGGUUCGUAACCCGGGGUGACUACAAGCACUCAAGCAAAAACCGCCAUCACAUUCCGCGGUUUUAAUAAGCGUGAAGAAAUCUAUGUCUAGUACAAUGGCAAAUUUAUUCGCAAAGUAAUUUCCAUUAAAAUGAAACACAAACGCUUGAUUCGAUUAUCCCGUGAGUAGAAGAUCUGGAACAUAUGUUGGCAUGCGGCUGAAAAUAAUUCGGACACCGUUUCACUACUGCUCAAAAUAAUCAUCAGUAUUUUUAUUUCAAAAAGUAGUAUACGUGUUACGCUCCUGUGUCUGCGUGAUAAAUCCUCACCCACCCCACCCCACUCCUUGAUAAAUUCUCAUUCGCAGAAGUUUAGGAGCUUUAAGAAUAAUGGUUAUCCUUGAAACAAGUUGUAGAGCGUUCUUGGUAUUUUUUCAGAUUUGAUUACCCCUAAUUUAAAAGGAUCGAUGUUCAUAGAAAAGAAUACCGUACGGGUUAAUUUUGCUUUAAGUGAUGUGUAGUUCCAAUCAAUGCUCCCUCACUUUCAGAGUAAAUAGGACAACUUCUGGAGUCCGCACAUGCGCCGAGUGGGAGCUGCAAAGUUGUCCAAUUGCCCGUUUCCAGGUGGCGUGCGAGCGGUACUUCAGCAUUGACAUCCAGCUCAAUUGAAUCAAGACUGGCAGCAGAGGCAACUCACAAGUCCAUGAGAGAGAUUUAAAGAGGAGCGUUCCUGGACUUCCGGCAUUUUCUGGCAAGCCAAUCAAAUAGUGGCUGUCUGCAAGAAGAUAAAUCUCAAGGCGUACUUACUUCGAUAAUAAAUGUACUUUGAACUUUGAAAUCUCAUAUAACCAAGCACCCUUCUCUGCUGCCUAGUCACCAUAUUAAGCUGAAACAGAGUGUCUUGUCAGAUGAGACAACUAUAUCUGCUUUGAGUUUGGUGAAGCAACCGAGUAAUGUGUAGGUUUAAGUGCAAAGCGACAAGACAGAUGAAAAUCUUUUGAACAUACUUUGGAGGGAUCAUUCAAUGCUUGCAACAUUCUCCCACAUGGAUCGGAUGAUGGAGGAGUCACAGUGCCAUUUUGUCUGGGACUAUGACACAAAAGAGGCAGAGCUGGUUCACAGGAAGUCCUACAGAUGUUUUCUGUUAACUUGAAAUCAAUGCAAUGAAAAUACUGUCAACUAUAAAAAAAGUAAAUGGAAAAAGAAUUUUCUUUUAACCAGUUCCAGACUAACAAUCAAUAGCUCUCUGUACUUACUUAAAUAACGUGUUUACAUUUGCUGCCUUCCAAUCUGUGGAAAAUGUUCUAGAACCUAUGGAAUUUAGUAGAUGCACUAGG